UUUUUUUAAACAUUUUGGUAAACCAAACAGCGUCAUAUUCCUCUUUCUUUCUGGUUUUCAGACGUAGCAGCAUCAUGGAACUCUGGAAGACCAGUUCUAUUGCUUUUGUCCUCUAGACAAAACUCCACCUUCAUGAGACCCGAAGAUCUCUCCUCAAUUUUUGGUGUUUGAUUGUACCUGCAAGGGGUUGCAAUCGCAAUUGGAGGGUCCAGAGUUUUUUCUUUUGAGAAGUUGUUGUUUAGAAUUUGAUGGAUGAUGGGUUCAAGACAGAAAAGGAGCAGGACAACAAAAGCAAAGGUCAAUAUUUCAUCUUCACUAUCUAAUGUGAAUUUCUGGAAUGCAUAUAUGGAAGGAAAAAUGGCUAUCUAUGAAAGACAACUGGUGAGGGAAAAUAUCGAGGGAGAUUAUGUUCCGUACCAGCCAGUGUUUUCUUCAUCUUUUUAGAAAGUUCUCUAUUUACCCGACAGUGCUAACUCUGUGCAAGGGCUUGCAAAUCCUAUUCGAGGUGUGGUUGUUAUCUCUUCUUCACCUAAUAUAGCAAUCACAAGUUUCCUUUUUUCAUUGCUGCUUGGUAUUCCUUCCUUGUGCCUUUUACUUUCUUUUAGCCAGUUUGUUUUCUUAGCCUUGGCCUCAAUUUUCUGAAUUUAUUUGUAUAUUCUUACUGCCUGAUAAUUGGUGUAUACUCUAAAGCCAUUUAUGUUUUGGCUAUGUUUUGCUGACUAA
Coffea arabica (coffee) is the source of this 723-nucleotide RNA transcript. RefSeq lists it as uncharacterized. The record is from RefSeq and is a predicted model, not a curated record. NCBI's taxonomy places the organism in Eukaryota, Viridiplantae, Streptophyta, Magnoliopsida, Gentianales, Rubiaceae.